GGUUAAGUGACUAAGCGUACAUGGUGGAUGCCUUGGCAGUCAGAGGCGAUGAAGGACGUACUAACCUGCGAUAAGCCGUGAGCAGUCGGUAAGAGACAUUACGACUCACGGAUUUCCGAAUGGGGAAACCCACUUAGCAUAAGCUAGGUAUCGCUACGUGAAUACAUAGCGUAGCGAGGCGAACCGGGAGAACUGAAACAUCUAAGUACCCCGAGGAAAAGAAAUCAACCGAGAUUCCCUCAGUAGCGGCGAGCGAACGGGGAUUAGCCCUUAAGCAUCUUGGAAGUUAGUGGAACGGUCCUGGAAAGGCCGGCGAUACAGGGUGAUAGCCCCGUACACGAAAACAACCUUGAUGUGAAAUCGAGUAGGGCGGGACACGUGACAUCCUGUCUGAAUAUGGGGGGACCAUCCUCCAAGGCUAAAUACUCCUGACUGACCGAUAGUGAACCAGUACCGUGAGGGAAAGGCGAAAAGAACCCCUGUGAGGGGAGUGAAAUAGAACCUGAAACCGUGUACGUACAAGCAGUGGGAGCCCUUCGGGGUGACUGCGUACCUUUUGUAUAAUGGGUCAGCGACUUACAUUUUGUAGCGAGGUUAACCGUAUAGGGGAGCCGUAGGGAAACCGAGUCUUAACUGGGCGUCUAGUUGCAAGGUGUAGACCCGAAACCGGGUGAUCUAGCCAUGGGCAGGUUGAAGGUUGAGUAACAUCAACUGGAGGACCGAACCCACUAACGUUGCAAAGUUAGGGGAUGACCUGUGGCUGGGGGUGAAAGGCCAAUCAAACUCGGAGAUAGCUGGUUCUCCCCGAAAGCUAUUUAGGUAGCGCCUCGGACGAAUACUACUGGGGGUAGAGCACUGUUUGGGCUAGGGGGUCAUCCCGACUUACCAACCCCAUGCAAACUCCGAAUACCAGUAAGUAAUAUCCGGGAGACACACGGCGGGUGCUAACGUCCGUCGUGAAGAGGGAAACAACCCAGACCGCCGGCUAAGGUCCCAAAGUUCUGGUUAAGUGGGAAACGAUGUGGGAAGGCUCAGACAGCUAGGAUGUUGGCUUAGAAGCAGCCAUCAUUUAAAGAAAGCGUAAUAGCUCACUAGUCGAGUCGGCCUGCGCGGAAGAUGUAACGGGGCUCAAACCAGGCACCGAAGCCGCGGAUUCACACUAAGUGUGAGUGGUAGGGGAGCGUUCUGUAAGUCUGCGAAGGUGUGUCGAGAGGCAUGCUGGAGAUAUCAGAAGUGCGAAUGCUGACGUAAGUAACGAUAAAGGGGGUGAAAAGCCUCCUCGCCGGAAGACCAAGGGUUCCUGUCCAACGUUAAUCGGGGCAGGGUGAGUCGACCCCUAAGGCGAGGCCGAAAGGCGUAGUCGAUGGGAAGCAGGUUAAUAUUCCUGCACGACUUGUAAUUGCGAUGGGGGGACGGAGAAGGCUAGGUGGGCCAGGCGACGGUUGUCCUGGUGAAAGUGCGUAGGUGGUGUUUCUAGGCAAAUCCGGAGACACAACACUGAGACACGAGACGAACACACUACGGUGUGGAAGCCAUUGAUGCCCUGCUUCCAGGAAAAGCCUCUAAGCUUCAGAUUACAAGUCAUCGUACCCCAAACCGACACAGGUGGUCGGGUAGAGAAUACCAAGGCGCUUGAGAGAACUCGGGUGAAGGAACUAGGCAAAAUAGAACCGUAACUUCGGGAGAAGGUUCGCUCUUGACAGUGAAGUCCCUUGCGGAUGGAGCAGUUGGGAGUCGCAGUGACCAGAUGGCUGGGACUGUUUAUCAAAAACACAGCACUCUGCAAACACGAAAGUGGACGUAUAGGGUGUGACACCUGCCCGGUGCCGGAAGGUUAAUUGAUGGGGUUAGCGCAAGCGAAGCUCUUGAUCGAAGCCCCGGUAAACGGCGGCCGUAACUAUAACGGUCCUAAGGUAGCGAAAUUCCUUGUCGGGUAAGUUCCGACCUGCACGAAUGGUGUAACCAUGGCCAUGCUGUCUCCACCCGAGACUCAGUGAAAUCGAAUUCGCCGUGAAGAUGCGGUGUACCCGCGGCUAGACGGAAAGACCCCGUGAACCUUUACUACAGCUUGGCACUGAACAUUGAACCUACAUGUGUAGGAUAGGUGGGAGGCUUUGAAGGCGUGACGCCAGUUGCGCUGGAGCCGUCCUUGAAAUACCACCCUUGUAUGUUUGAUGUUCUAACGCAGGCCCCUGAAUCGGGGUCGCGGACAGUGCCUGGUGGGUAGUUUGACUGGGGCGGUCUCCUCCCAAAGAGUAACGGAGGAGCACGAAGGUUGGCUAAUCCUGGUCGGACAUCAGGAGGUUAGUGCAAUGGCAUAAGCCAGCUUAACUGCGAGACGGACAGGUCGAGCAGGUACGAAAGUAGGUCAUAGUGAUCCGGUGGUUCUGAAUGGAAGGGCCAUCGCUCAACGGAUAAAAGGUACUCCGGGGAUAACAGGCUGAUACCGCCCAAGAGUUCAUAUCGACGGCGGUGUUUGGCACCUCGAUGUCGGCUCAUCACAUCCUGGGGCUGAAGUCGGUCCCAAGGGUAUGGCUGUUCGCCAUUUAAAGUGGUACGCGAGCUGGGUUCAGAACGUCGUGAGACAGUUCGGUCCCUAUCUGCCGUGGGCGUUGGAUGAUUGAAGGGAGUUGCUCCUAGUACGAGAGGACCGGAGUGAACGAACCUCUGGUGUUCGGGUUGUCACGCCAGUGGCACUGCCCGGUAGCUAAGUUCGGAAUCGAUAACCGCUGAAAGCAUCUAAGCGGGAAGCGAGCCCUGAGAUGAGUCAUCCCUGACCCCUUGAGGGUCCUAAAGGGCCGUUGGAGACCACAACGUUGAUAGGUGGGGUGUGUAAGCGCGGCGACGUGUUGAGCUAACCCAUACUAAUUACCCGUGAGGCUUAACCAU
This 2889-nucleotide ribosomal RNA is filed under the name Aeromonas hydrophila. Its description in RNAcentral is "23S ribosomal RNA". It matches the Rfam family "Bacterial large subunit ribosomal RNA". The record is from RNAcentral. Lineage: Bacteria; Pseudomonadati; Pseudomonadota; Gammaproteobacteria; Aeromonadales; Aeromonadaceae.